This 468-nucleotide ribosomal RNA is filed under the name uncultured bacterium. Its description in RNAcentral is "partial 16S ribosomal RNA". It matches the Rfam family "Bacterial small subunit ribosomal RNA", at positions 28 to 507 of the family's 1533-position model. The record is from RNAcentral.
GACGAACGCUGGCGGCGUGCUUAACACAUGCAAGUCGAACGGUGAUGCUCCAGCUUGCUGGAGUGGAUCAGUGGCGAACGGGUGAGUAACACGUGAGCAACCUGCCCCAGACUCUGGAAUAAGCGCUGGAAACGGCGUCUAAUACUGGAUACGAAACUGGCCCGCAUGGGCAUGGUUUGGAAAGUUUUUCGGUUUGGGAUGGGCUCGCGGCCUAUCAGCUUGUUGGUGAGGUAAUGGCUCACCAAGGCGACGACGGGUAGCCGGCCUGAGAGGGCGACCGGCCACACUGGGACUGAGACACGGCCCAGACUCCUACGGGAGGCAGCAGUGGGGAAUAUUGCACAAUGGGCGAAAGCCUGAUGCAGCGACGCCGCGUGAGGGAUGACGGCCUUCGGGUUGUAAACCUCUUUCAGCAGGGAGGAAGCGAAAGUGACGGUACCUGCAGAAGAAGCACCGGCUAACUACGUG